Long non-coding RNA from Cucumis sativus (cucumber), 809 nucleotides. RefSeq lists it as uncharacterized. The transcript has 2 exons. Lineage: Eukaryota; Viridiplantae; Streptophyta; Magnoliopsida; Cucurbitales; Cucurbitaceae. The record is from RefSeq and is a predicted model, not a curated record.
UGCCCACUAGGUGAUGGAAUACAUUUGGUUGUUGACUUUUCUGCAUUCCUUGGUUUCAUAUAAUGCUAGUCCUUUGUUGUCAUCAAGUAAAAACUGUAGUGUUUUAUAUUUCUUUUCGGCCAACUUCUUAAAAUAUAUUGAGGAUAUUUAAUACUACUUACAAUGGAUUCUAACAUUGAUGGUUGUCACAAUAUCACACUAUUGGUUGUGGGGGACUUUUGAGAUGAUUUGGACUUUGAGGUCCUGAUGAUCCCUGGCUGAUGAAUGCGAUUUUCAAAUAUUCCAAUUGAAAGCAGAACCAAUCCUUUGGAAUUGUCAAAUCCAUGUAAGGCUGAAGCAAGUUACAAAAGUAAGGGCCAUACAGAAAUGAGCCAUAAAAUCAGAACAAAAAGAGGCUCCAAUUGUUUAGAGUAAGAAAACAAAAGACAAGUACAAGUUCUCUUUUACAUUUUCUUUUAAUAAGAAUCUACUUUUGAUCUAGACAAAUAAAAGUACAGCAGAUGUAGCAAGUAUGUUUUGGAUCUUGUAACUGAGGAGGCAGUUAUGGAUGAUUAGACCAAGGGAGUCUGGCAAGUUAAGGAAUUCCUGCUAUGAUUGGACCUUGCUUUUCUGGAGCAAGGCUGUACAGACUUGCCUUGCUAUGAGGACAUACUCUAACACUUUUAUUAAAUCUUAGUGUGAAAUGUAUUUUUCCCUACGUUUCAGAUGUUAUUUUUUUCCCUACGUUUCAGAUGUUAUUUGGAUCUGUUUUCUUGAAUUGUAAAUGAUUUGGUUGAUAAAUGACAAUUUCUCCUCAAACUGUAUUUCCA